Non-coding RNA from Paramisgurnus dabryanus, 1533 nucleotides. Lineage: Eukaryota; Metazoa; Chordata; Actinopteri; Cypriniformes; Cobitidae. The record is from RefSeq and is a predicted model, not a curated record.
UUGUAAUACUCACCCAGUUACAGUAAUUUGUGUAAUGUUGGACAUACGAUGAAACAACACGACAUUGAUACAGCAAUUUGAUCUCACACUCAUUUUUAUCAGCAGAUUAGUGUGCUUUGAGUACACCACAGUUCUGUAAGUGAAAAAUUAAUUCAUAUUUAUGUGUGUUUCUUUCUCAGUAAGGACUACCUUUAACUGACUUUCUGUCUGUCUGUCUGUUCUCAACCAAACGGUCAUUCAAGACCUUUUAAAGCAAAAACAUUUCCCGUGCAAGUUUGAAUCUCUCUCAGUAAGGACUUAUUGACUGGCUGUCUGUUCUCGACCAAACGGUCAUUCUUACUCAUAAAAAACUUUUAAAGCACAAGUGUGUCCCGCGCAAGUUUGAAUUUCUCUCAGUAAGGACUGACGGAUGGCCAUUCACUCAUAAAACCUUUUAAAGGUUAGCACGAAUGCAUCCAGCAUAAUUUUGGAUCUUUACCAUUGAGGAGACUGGCUGACUGUUCUCAACAAACCAUCAUUCACACGCAAAAACUUUAAAGGUAAGUAUGAACGUGUCUAGAGCAGUUUUGGAUCUUUACCAUUGAGGAGGUUGACUGACUUUCAUCUACCAACUGUCAUUAACACAACAAAAACUAAAGAAAUGUUACUACAAGUGGACCUAUUCAGUUACUCAUUAUGCUGUGAGUACACCACAAUUUUAUCAGUGAAACAAUAAUGUUUGUUUUUUCUCAAUGCUUGGCAUAGACAAAUGUGACCCUGUGUAAUUUGGAAAUUUCAUGGGAAAUGUGUACGUCUUAAAGAGCACCUAUUAUGGGAUACACGUUUUUAAACAUCCUUUUGUGUGUAAGUGUGCAUUAGUACAUGCUAACGAUAUUCAAAAAGUACAUACCUCAAAGAAAACGAUGACGCGAGUUAUCGUCUCUAACGUUCGAGGACUACAAAAAACACUCGGAUUGUAGGCAACAGUUUACUUCCUGGGAUUGGUGACGUAGAUAAGACCAACAUUAUCAUAGUUCAGCCCUCUCUGCUUUGCUUGGGUACGCCCUCAAAGACGGGGGUGGGGAGCGCCGAGUCAGAAGAGAGCUAAAAUGGCGGAGGUUGUGAGUCCCUGCUGUGACUCUGUUUGCAAACUCUUGUUUCAUUGUUUAAGCGAUUAAAUCUCUCGAGUAGACGCUGUCUCUUUAGAUGCGAGGGCAAAAUAGCACUUUAUGGACUUCCACAGAGGACAUCAUGUUUAAUACGGUUCCGGAAAAAUCCAGUCAGAAGUUGUUCACGGAGUUUUCACAAUAACUGCUUCUCAUGAACCGAAGCUGGAUUUGCGCGAAGUCUCCUCUUGAAAGUUGGAUUACUGUGCACUUCUGGAUCACAGGCUAUUCGCAGCUGGACACAUCCUUCUACACUGUAUGCAAACAUGCAACAUCAUUACACACAGUACAAGGAGUCAGACUGGCAUAUGAGGAGCAAAGGAACCCAGGCAGUAGCAUCGUUUCACAAUGUUUCCAUCAUCAUCAUCAGUGGAUGCCUUUGCCUUCC